GAUGAACGCUGGCGGCGUGCCUAAUACAUGCAAGUCGAGCGAACAGACGAGGAGCUUGCUCCUCUGACGUUAGCGGCGGACGGGUGAGUAACACGUGGAUAACCUACCUAUAAUACUGGGAUAACUUCGGGAAACCGGAGCUAAUACCGGAUCAUAUAUUGAACCGCAUGGUUCAAUAGUGAAAGACGGUUUUGCUGUCACUUAUAGAUGGAUCCGCGCCGCAUUAGCUAGUUGGUAAGGUAACGGCUUACCAAGGCGACGAUGCGUAGCCGACCUGAGAGGAUGAUCAGCCACACUGGAACUGAGACACGGUCCAGACUCCUACGGGAGGCAGCAGUAGGGAAUCUUCGACAAUGGGCGAAAGCCUGACGGAGCAACGCCGCGUGAGUGAUGAAGGUCUUCGGAUCUUAAAGCUCUUUUAUUGGGGAAGAAAAAAUGUAUAAGAACAUAUGCCUGUUUUGACGGUACCUAAUCAAAAAGCACCGGCUAACUACGUG
RNAcentral lists this ribosomal RNA (497 nucleotides) under uncultured bacterium. RNAcentral describes it as "partial 16S ribosomal RNA". It matches the Rfam family "Bacterial small subunit ribosomal RNA", at positions 28 to 507 of the family's 1533-position model. The record is from RNAcentral.